GAUGAACGCUGGCGGCGUGCCUAAUACAUGCAAGUCGAGCGAAUGGACGAGAAGCUUGCUUCUCUGAUGUUAGCGGCGGACGGGUGAGUAACACGUGGAUAACCUACCUAUAAGACUGGGAUAACUUCGGGAAACCGUAGCUAAUACCGGAUAAUAUUUUGAACCGCAUGGUUCAAAAGUGAAAGACGGUCUUGCUGUCACUUAUAGAUGGAUCCGCGCUGCAUUAGCUAGUUGGUAAGGUAACGGCUUACCAAGGCAACGAUGCAUAGCCGACCUGAGAGGGUGAUCGGCCACACUGGAACUGAGACACGGUCCAGACUCCUACGGGAGGCAGCAGUAGGGAAUCUUCCGCAAAGGGCGAAAGCCUGACGGAGCAACGCCGCGUGAGUGAUGAAGGUCUUCGGAUCGUAAAACUCUGUUAUUAGGGAAGAACAUAUGUGUAAGUAACUGUGCACAUCUUGACGGUACCUAAUCAGAAAGCCACGGCUAACUACGUG
RNAcentral lists this ribosomal RNA (497 nucleotides) under uncultured bacterium. RNAcentral describes it as "partial 16S ribosomal RNA". It matches the Rfam family "Bacterial small subunit ribosomal RNA", at positions 28 to 507 of the family's 1533-position model. The record is from RNAcentral.